CAUUAUGUCUAUGGAGGGUCCUCAUAAGGAUAGCUAAAUCAGUGUGUGUGUGUGUGUGUGUGUGUGUGCGCAUGUCGAUUUUUAGAUGCCUAUCGUCGCACACAUUCUAAAGUUUUGGAGAAAGUGUUUAAGGAUUUGAUAUCAGAAACACUUAAAUUUGCACCGUACCGAGGUGAUCAGGUCAGUGAUCAGUCUUAUCACAGGUUGGUCUCUUUCUGUUUAAAAUAUAGUUGAUGAAAUGCCAACCUGUGUAAGAUUAAAUGGGAGAAUGAUGUUAAUACAUGUAAAGGCAAGGAACAAAACUUGUAGACUCAUGCUUAUGACUAGAACAUGUUACUUUAUACUGUCAAAUAAGAAAUCAAGUAAAUCAGUAUAGCACAUUCAACAAGUUAUUAUUUAAAAGUAAUAUUCUAUUUUGUCUGUCAAAACAUGUUGAACAGAUACAUAGUGGCCAAUGUAUACAUAGUAGUAAAAUGUUACAAAAUGCAUUUGGGAUUAUUGUAUUAUUCUGUUUCACCUCUAUUCCAGACAUUUUAUAGGAUUAUGGCUAUACUUACAGUGGAACAUAAUAAAGCAAUAUUACAUAAGCAAGAGUGAUUUUGUUCUGAAUACAGCACAGCAGUGAUUCAACCGGUAAUGACAGUCGUGCUGACAUUCAGAACAGCACAGUUGUGAUGUUAUUCAACAGUUCAACAAACAAGUAAAUAGUUGAAUAAUGUGCCUUUUGGACAAAAAAUGGUUGCUUAGUUUGUUCACUACUGCUUUGCCGGCUAAAAUUAUUCAAUAGAAGUCAAAUAGCCCCCUCUCCCCAAGAUCAAGCAGGGGUUUACAGUCACAUCAUAUGAGCCGAUGUGCAUGCAAAGUUGCGAUAAUUGUGUUAACGGUCUAGAGUCAAGUGCCUAUACUCCCCAAAUGGGAGGCGCCGUUAAACGACUUCUCUGGUUUGGUCAUCUCUGUAACGCUCUUUAAAACGUCAUGUGUUUAAACAAUCGAUUAUUUUUCUUCAAAUAGCAUUAAUAUCUUGCGGUCGUUGUCUUUUCAAGGGUCUUCCUGUCUUGUCACAUCAUGCACAGUGUGUACAUCAAAGUGUCAGCCUGCGCAUGCGCACAAGUGAAGUUCUGGGGUUUUUAAAUUGGAGACCAUGUUGCAAUGCUGAGAUUUUUUCUCAUAUAAAUCUGAAAAUACACCAAAAAUUUAAGGAUUCUGACAUUUUUUUAGAAAAGUUAAUGACGUAAAUUGAAGAAGAAAUGUUAAAGAUAUAUGCACUUUUUUAGGUCACUAAUCAAAUGCAAGGAAAAAAGUAACAUUGGCCAUGUUAACUCCUUUGGAACAUUGUCAAAUCAUGCUGGGAUAACAUGGAUCAUCAGGUUUGUAAAAACAUAACAGUAUUUUCUUUCUUUUUUUUUUUACCUAGACCUUGUUUCAAUUCUAGCAUAUGUUUAUCAACAGUAAAGUGACUUUCAGAGGAAACUUGCAGUCUCUUUUAGAGAAUGAAGCAACAGCAUCUGCAAGCUAGUGAGUUAAAAAUUAGCAACUUCAAAAACUGAUGACCAAGAUGAAGAAAAGAGAACUGACUACUUCAGAGAUCAUGAAUUGUCGUUGGGGGGUUUAAGAUGAGCAUUCAGUCAAUAUUUCAGUGAUUUAACACAUCUAUAUUGUUAAACAAUAAUUCUAGGCUGUUUUUAUUGCACUAUACAGUUUUUUAAGCCAGCAACUAUAACUGUCUUUAACAUUGAAAGAACACAUACUUCACAAACAUUAAAGACAAUAAUACUUCACAAAAGAGUCCAGGCAAAUGUCCAAAUUUCCCUUAUUCAGGCACGUAAGAGCGAUAGCGCAGUGUAAUUUCAAGACCUACCUUGUUUAUUCAAAAGCACCACUCUCCUCAGUGCUCUUCUUUCACAGCUGAGUGGGAAUACCAGCCUGACCUUGAAACCCUAAAGACUGAACUGAAGUUCAGAUGAUACAGAUUUCUUAAAGGGAUAGUUCACCCAAAAAGGAAAAUGCUCUCAUCAUUUACUCACCCUCAUGCCAUCACAGAUAUGUAUGACUUUCUUCUGCUCGACACAAUGAUUUUUAGAAGAAUAUGUCAGCUCUGUAGGUCCCUACAAUGCAAGUGAAUGGUUCCAGGUGCUUCUCCAGGCUCAAGUGGAGGACAGGCAGGUGCUAAGGAGUUUGGUACCCCAGGAGGGGUCUUUACCCGUGACUCCAGGCCUCACGUCACGAUCAACAAGAUGGGACAUCAGGACGACCCGGAGGCUUUCAUCAAGCUCUUCGAGUGGACAGCCAAGGCAUGAAAGUGGCCGAGCACCCAGUGGGCGGUCCGCCUGUUGUCCGGGGAAGCCCAACUCAUGACCCAACAACUUCCUGUGUCCAACCUCCUGGUGUAUGAGGAUUUUAAGAAAGCCACCCUGCAACUGGUCAGCCACAGCCCAGAACAACAUCAUUAACACUUCUGCUUGCUGACAUUUGGCGAGCACAGCCGCCCAUUCGCAUUCGCCCAACAGCUCCGUGACACCUGCCGGAGGAGGUGAUCGAUCUGGUGGUACUGGAGCAGUUCAUCUCCCGGCUACUGAGAGGAACUGUGGAGUGGGUCCAGUGCCACUGACCGCUGUCACUGGAUGAGGCGGUCCAUUUGGCUGAGGACCAUCUGACGGCGUAUCUGAGGGCUGGUGAAUCCACUGCCAUGGGUGAAGUCUGGGCUGAUCUGCUGGAGCUGCGGGGAACCUGGGCAAUUCCAGGACUGAUGCCCUAUGAUGGAAGUGAGGACGUCGGUCCAGGUCCCCGAUGCGCCAUAGGCCACCCCGAUCGAGCUGGAACGUACUGGAUACCUUAAAAACAAAGCGCAGUUCCUGUGGAAGCUCAGAUCUGGGCAUAUUUAGUACAGCUGGGAUGAUCCUCUGUGACAUGGGCCCCUCAGACAGGACCUGGUGCAUCUGAUACAAGCACCAGUCAUCGUUCAGGAAGUUU
This is a long non-coding RNA of Myxocyprinus asiaticus (Chinese sucker), 2970 nucleotides long. RefSeq lists it as uncharacterized. The record is from RefSeq and is a predicted model, not a curated record. The transcript is spliced from 3 exons. NCBI's taxonomy places the organism in Eukaryota, Metazoa, Chordata, Actinopteri, Cypriniformes, Catostomidae.